RNAcentral lists this long non-coding RNA (1190 nucleotides) under Homo sapiens (human). RNAcentral describes it as "HSALNT0402307". Lineage: Eukaryota; Metazoa; Chordata; Mammalia; Primates; Hominidae. The record is from RNAcentral.
GUCUGACAGUCAUGACCGCAGCAGCCGGGUGUGAGGGCAGGGCUGGGUAUUCGGAGACCUUCAGAAGCCUGGUCACGGAGGGCCUGCCCAGGGACCCCCCUGCCUCUCCCCCCAGGCCCCACGGCGGCAGAGACUCACAGGCAAAGAACUGCCAGGGCUGGUAGGUGCGGCCGAAGUCCAUGGACCGCUCCAGCACCCAGAGGUCCGGCCGGGCAGGUACGCCCGGGAACAGCUGGGUGCUGUUGGCCAGGUAGGCCUGGAAGCCUAGGGCCCCAAGGGGGAGAGUGGGGUCCCCCAGAGCUGCACAAGACCUACAGUCACCCCACUGGACUGAGCCGGACUGAGACUGCUGUGGGGUCCCCCAUGAAAAGACCACAGACCCCUCAUAGCUUCAGCCCUUGGGGGCACCAGCUGCCCAGACUCCAGGGGCCCUGGACAGCUGUCCUCGAGGGCCUGGUGGCUGCACAGAUGGUCACAGGAAGGGAAGCCCGCGCUGGAGGACUCCCAUCUGUCUCUGACCUGGUCGCGGCUCCCAGGGCCACACCGGCCGCCCUCGCCAUGACCCGGAGCGAGCGCAGACCCCUGGCUUCGGGACCGCCCUUCCCCCUCCACGCCCCGCUCAGCUCAGCUGCCAGUGCUGACCUUUCCGCUGCUACAUGGUUCUGUGCAGAAAGAAAAAAAAAAGUCUUUUAAAGCAAAAGCCAAACAAAAGCUGCCUGAGUUAUUUUUAAAAAUCGGCUAUUUUGGGGCAGGCACGUCUCCAGGACGGCAGCCGGACCCGCCUCUCAGCCACUGCACCCUCCAGUCCCCACUACCCAGCUUGCCCUGGGAGGGCCACGGUUCCCAGAGGAGGCCUCUGCCCGGUGACCACUGCCUCACAGGGGGUGGGCAAGAGCCCCAGGAGUACGGGGCCCAGGACCCAGGGCCCAGGCCGGCUCCAGGCUUCAGGGGUUGUGCGGCCCUGGAGCGGACACUUCCCCUUCCUGGGCACAGGGCAGUGGGAAGAGCUGCAGAGAGGGGCAUCAGGAUAAAAUGCCUUUCAUGAGGGCAUGAAGGUUUGAGCGCCCUGGGAGGGAGGACGCCAGCUGCUCCUGGAGGGCAGCAGCCACCCCGCAGAGACGCUGAGAGGCCCCCACUGGAGCUGCCCCACUCACUGGCGCUCCGAAGGCAAAGCUGCGGAGGGGACUGAG